AAUUUGAAAUCUGGCCCUUUCGGGGUCCGAGUUGUAAUUUGUAGAGAGUGCUUCGGGGGAGACCGCGGUCUAAGUCCAUUGGAACAUGGCGUCACAGAGGGUGAGAAUCCCGUAUGUGACCGUGGCUCGAACCCAUGUGAAGCCUCUUCGACGAGUCGAGUUGUUUGGGAAUGCAGCUCAAAAUGGGUGGUAAAUUUCAUCUAAAGCUAAAUACUGGCUGGAGACCGAUAGCGCACAAGUAGAGUGAUCGAAAGAUGAAAAGCACUUUGGAAAGAGAGUUAAAAAGUACGUGAAAUUGUUGAAAGGGAAGCGCUGGCAACCAGACCUGCCCGUAGGCGAUCAGCCGCUGUUCUCAGCGGUGCACUCGCUCUGCGAUCAGGCCAGCAUCGGUUCCGGCGGUCGGAUAAAGGCCUUGGGAAUGUACCUUCCCUUCGGGGGAGUCUUAUAGCCCUCGGUGCAAUGCGGCCAGCCGGGACCGAGGACCGCGCUUCGGCUAGGAUGCUGGCGUAAUGGUUGUC
Molecule: ribosomal RNA, 518 nt
Filed under: Melanelixia villosella
Lineage: Eukaryota; Fungi; Ascomycota; Lecanoromycetes; Lecanorales; Parmeliaceae
Also listed under: 1 other name
Description: eukaryotic LSU rRNA
Rfam family: Eukaryotic large subunit ribosomal RNA
Source: RNAcentral